UAGGGAAUCUUCGGCAAUGGACGCAAGUCUGACCGAGCAACGCCGCGUGAGUGAAGACGGUUUUCGGAUCGUAAAGCUCUGUUGUAGGGGAAGAACGUGUGUAAGAGUGGAAAGCUUACACAGUGACGGUACCCUACCAGAAAGGGACGGCUAACUACGUGCCAGCAGCCGCGGUAAUACGUAGGUCCCGAGCGUUGUCCGGAUUUAUUGGGCGUAAAGGGAGCGCGGGCGGUUUAGUAAGUCUGAAGUUAAAGGCAUUGGCUCAACCAAUGUAUGCUUUGGAAACUGUUAGACUUGAGUGCAGGAAGGGGAGAGUGGAAUUCCAUGUGUAGCGGUGGAAUGCGGUAGAUAUAUGGAGGAACACCGGUGGCGAAAGCGGCUCUCUGGUCUGUCACUGACGCUGAGGCUCGAAAGCGUGGGUAGCGAACAG
Molecule: ribosomal RNA, 430 nt
Filed under: uncultured bacterium
Lineage: Bacteria
Description: bacterial SSU rRNA
Rfam family: Bacterial small subunit ribosomal RNA
Source: RNAcentral